CACGUAGGGCGCAAGCGUUGUCCGGAAUUAUUGGGCGUAAAGAGCUCGUAGGCGGUCUGUUACGUCUGCUGUGAAAACCCGGGGCUUAACCCUGGGCUUGCAGUCGAUACGGGCAGACUAGAGUUCGGCAGGGGAGACUGGAAUUCCUGGUGUAGCGGUGAAAUGCGCAGAUAUCAGGAGGAACACCGGUGGCGAAGGCGGGUCUCUGGGCCGAAACUGACGCUGAGGAGCGAAAGCGUGGGGAGCGAACAGG
Molecule: ribosomal RNA, 253 nt
Filed under: uncultured bacterium
Lineage: Bacteria
Description: partial 16S ribosomal RNA
Rfam family: Bacterial small subunit ribosomal RNA
Source: RNAcentral